GGCUAGAUAAGAUUUGGUAGUUGCGGUGGCCCGCGGGCAGCGGCGUUUUCACAAAGCCGAGGACAUGGAUUCAAAAGAGGAAGCGAGUGGGAGUGAAGGCGAAGAGUACGUGUACAGGAUUAGUACGGCUAAGGAGUGGGAAGUCUUGCAGAAAGAUAGAUCUAUUUUUGGUGGAGAUCUUGAUAAAUCGUCCGGUUUUAUCCACCUCAGCAAGCUCCACCAGGUUAAGUCAACAUUGCAAAACUUCUUCUUGAACACUAAUUUGGAGUUGUAUUUGCUUCAAAUUGACGCUAAGAAGCUUGGGGAUGGAUUGAUAUAUGAAGUUG
RNAcentral lists this unclassified non-coding RNA (326 nucleotides) under Hevea brasiliensis (rubber tree). Lineage: Eukaryota; Viridiplantae; Streptophyta; Magnoliopsida; Malpighiales; Euphorbiaceae. The record is from RNAcentral.